Molecule: RNA transcript, 2418 nt
Organism: Galeopterus variegatus (Sunda flying lemur)
Lineage: Eukaryota; Metazoa; Chordata; Mammalia; Dermoptera; Cynocephalidae
Gene: ACP1
Gene name: acid phosphatase 1, soluble
Exons: 8
Source: RefSeq, a predicted model, not a curated record
CCGUCUCCGGCGCCCGGCUUGCGCACGGAAGAUGGCCGAGCAGGUACCCAAGUCGGUGCUGUUCGUGUGCCUGGGUAACAUCUGUCGGUCACCGAUUGCAGAAGCAGUUUUCAGAAAACUUGUAACUGACCAAAAUGUUUCAGAUAAUUGGAGGAUAGACAGUGCAGCGACAUCCACGUAUGAAUGGGUCAUUGACAGCGGUGCCGUUUCUGGCUGGAACGUGGGCCAUUCCCCAGACCCAAGAGCUAUGAGCUGCUUAAGAAAUCAUGGCAUUAACACAGCCCAUAAGGCAAGACAGGUUACCAAAGAAGACUUCACCACAUUUGAUUAUAUACUGUGUAUGGAUGAAAGCAAUCUGAGGGAUUUGAAGAGAAAAAGUAAUCAAGUUAAAAACUGCAAAGCUAAAAUUGAACUACUUGGGAGCUAUGAUCCACAAAAACAACUUAUUAUUGAAGAUCCUUAUUAUGGGAAUGACUCUGACUUUGAGGCGGUGUACCAGCAGUGUGUCAGGUGUUGCACGGCAUUCCUGGAGAAGGCGCACCGAGGCUAGCCGUGCUCUGCUGCAGGAGGUGGUCCGUCCUCACCCUCUGCAUUUCUCAGCCAGUGUGCUCCACAGUCCAAGGCCCCAGCUGUUUCUUCAGUUGAUUUACUGUUUCAUAUCUUAAAAAUAAUUGUAGAUGCAAUUCAGUUGUGUUUGGCAGAAGAAAAAAUAAAAAUCUUUGAUUCAGACAGUUUAUGGGGGAGUUUAUGGAGUAUAUCAAGUGUUUGUACACUAGUUGAACCUCCCAGUUUGCCCCAAUUACAAAAACAGUGGAACAAACAGCACUGGAAGGCACUUCAGAAAGUUCGUGGAAAGAUCUGUAUGUCCUGCAAUUCUGUUUUUCCACGAACUUUUUGAAGUGCCUUCAUGUAGAACAACAAAAAUGAAGUAAAACAUCACUUGAAAGGCCCAGGUCAGCACCUGAGCCCAUUGAGACUUAGGAAAUUGAGUCUACCUCUGCAGUGGUUUGUGUGGGUAGCUUGAUGAGGACAGGUGCCCUCUCUCACCUGUGCUACCUCACUCUUUGGCCCAGGGCUUUUUAUUGAGUAGCAAUAGCCUGUGCAUAGGAGAUCACAGUCUAGAUUAGAAGUGUUUUAAUUCACACACACCCAUAGUGCACACUUGUAUGUUUAAAAAACAGGAAGGAGAAAAAUUUUUGGAAUUAAUCUUCAGCACGUGUAAUACUUCUUUUGUCUGGUUUAUUUCAUGAGGUCAAAUUAUUUGCUCCUAUUUGAACCACUUUGCCUCUGAAAAUUUAAUUAUAUACAGAAGUAUGGACACUUGUAUGCUGGUUUAUCUUAUGGUCAGUUGAAGAAUAUGUCUGUUUUACAUACACGUGUAAACUAAAUGUCAGGUAUAAAUUGGAUUAGGUGGGAAAAAAUAAUUUCAAAAGUUGGAAAAAGUUCUAUUGCAUUGGCGUGCUUAAAUUGAUGUGUUAAUAAGUAUUCGUCAGCAUUUAAUAAUCUUACAGGUAAAUAUAGGUAAUUUCUGUGUACUUUGGGAUAACUAAUCUCAAAUCCAUAUGGAUAUAAGUCAGAAAAGAUUGUUGUCAGAAUAAACCGGGGAGUUAUAAAAAUACAAGUGAGAUAUAAAUUUGGUGUUUGUCUGCUGUUUUACUGACAAGUGAAGAAACAUUUGAAAACACUGCCUUUGUUGUCGUUUUCAAAUGAUCUGUGAUGUUAUGUUGUGUAUCUUUGUCUUCAGUGUUAGGAAGUAAAAUGAAGAAAAUAAGCACAUUGCUGUCACAUACAGUAAUGUCUGGUUUAUGAAAGAAGUUUCAGGUCACUGUGGGCAGAGCGUCCUUGCCUAACCUUGCCAUGGGCAUCCCCAAUUCCAGCUCAGCAGGUGAGAGACAGUUUGCCCCAUUCCCUGCCUUGAUUUGCCAUUCGUAGCUGGUGACCUCAAAUCCUGGGAGAUCUUUUAGUAAAAGGAAAAGUCAGUCCUUAUCCAAAGGCUGAGUGGAUCAUCACCCAAGGAAUGUGAAGAGUUUAGAACAAUGAGUGAUUGUUCUCCUGGCCUCUGUCACAAGGUUCCCCAGUGGCAGGGGAGGAGCCCCGUAAAAGUACGGCAGUGUCUUCACAGAAGGGGGUUUUCUAGCUGAGUGUGUCUGGUUCCUGGUGGAACUACUCGGACAUAUAGAAAACUUAAGAGGUUAAAUAGAUUGGGAAUCUGAUAAUGGUAUCCUCAAAGUGUAAAGAAUUGGGAAGAAAAGGUCAAGUAAUGAACCACAACUAGAAAAUAGGACUAAGUAAGAACACUUCAGAAGUUAUGCCCUGUCCUGCUCAUUCAGUUACUGCUUAACCUCAAAGUCAAGAAAUUUUUCUGUUCCUUUAUGUUCAUAAAUAAAAUCCUACAGCUUGUUUUAACAGUUCCUCUAA